CUGAUGAUGAGUCCUACAAUAGGACGAAACGGCCGUCAGACAG
This 43-nucleotide non-coding RNA is filed under the name Schistosoma margrebowiei. The record is from RNAcentral. Lineage: Eukaryota; Metazoa; Platyhelminthes; Trematoda; Strigeidida; Schistosomatidae.